UGCACUGUAUGGUGUCUGCACCCAGCAGUGUUCUCCUGAUGGGAUGCUCAUAAAGCAGUGCCACAGCCGUGCAGCAUUCAGCAUCGCUGGGUUUUGUUCUGCUGUGCCUGUCAAACCUGGUAUUUUUGCUGAUAGAGUC
This 139-nucleotide small nucleolar RNA is filed under the name Acanthisitta chloris (rifleman). Its description in RNAcentral is "Small nucleolar RNA SNORA8". It matches the Rfam family "Small nucleolar RNA SNORA8". Rfam says of the family: ACA8 is a member of the H/ACA class of snoRNA that guide the sites of modification of uridines to pseudouridines. The record is from Rfam by way of RNAcentral. Lineage: Eukaryota; Metazoa; Chordata; Aves; Passeriformes; Acanthisittidae.